UUUUUCUGAUAUUGUGCUUAAAAGAAAUAUGUAAUAUUUGAUGAAAGUUUUUAGAUCCACUGCAGAUGUUAAAUGGCCGACGUUGAGGAUUUUGUAUGACAAACAAAACUUCGUGUUUCUCCCAUGUAAAGGUGUAGGAAGCCUUUGCUUAAAUGCAUUGCAUAAGGUCAUGAAGCCAUAACCAGAAAUAACAAUCAGAAGGUCAUGACUGGAGGAGAGGGCAAGUUGGAGGAGAAGAUCCAUGAGCCAAAGAUGGCCGGUCUUGAUGCUUGCACAUCACAUCCAGGUAAUUGGCGAGCUGAGCCUUUUUUGACCAGUUCUAGCUGAAUGUGAUGCUGGAGCUGUCAGAUGUUGUGGCGCUCGCGAAGGGGAGAAGUAGAGUCGGCCUUUAUGCAGUGAUAGUGGAGGAGCAGAGGUGGCUAGGAGGGAACCUUGGCUGCGGAAAGUAUAAUGCUUGUUUUGGGCCUGAGAAUGGAUAGUUCUUCUCUGAUCUGGGCAGGUUGCAUGUGUCAAGUAGCUAAUAUAUAUGUUGGCAUAAUCUAGCUUGGUUAGUGCUUGAGACAGUUUGGUUCCCGUGGCUGCUAGCAAGUCCGUAUCAUUGGA
Molecule: long non-coding RNA, 603 nt
Organism: Lolium rigidum
Lineage: Eukaryota; Viridiplantae; Streptophyta; Magnoliopsida; Poales; Poaceae
Exons: 3
Source: RefSeq, a predicted model, not a curated record